AACGAACGCUGGCGGCAUGCCUAACACAUGCAAGUCGAACGAGACCUUCGGGCCUAGUGGCGCACGGGUGCGUAACGCGUGGGAAUCUGCCCUCUGGUACGGAAUAACUCAGGGAAACUUGAGCUAAUACCGUAUAAUGACUUCGGUCCAAAGAUUUAUCGCCUGAGGAUGAGCCCGCGUAGGAUUAGCUUGUUGGUGAGGUAAAAGCUCACCAAGGCGACGAUCCUUAGCUGGUCUGAGAGGAUGAUCAGCCACACUGGGACUGAGACACGGCCCAGACUCCUACGGGAGGCAGCAGUGGGGAAUAUUGGACAAUGGGCGAAAGCCUGAUCCAGCAAUGCCGCGUGAGUGAUGAAGGCCUUAGGGUUGUAAAGCUCUUUUACCCGGGGAUGAUAAUGACAGUACCGGGAGAAUAAGCCCCGGCUAACUCCGUGCCAGCAGCCGCGGU
This 448-nucleotide ribosomal RNA is filed under the name uncultured bacterium. Its description in RNAcentral is "bacterial SSU rRNA". It matches the Rfam family "Bacterial small subunit ribosomal RNA", at positions 29 to 521 of the family's 1533-position model. The record is from RNAcentral.